GACCUAGCGUAGUUCGGAAUUACUGGGCGUAAAGCGCGCGUAGGCCGUUGAGUUAGUUAAUUGUGAAAUCCCAAAGCUUAACUUUGGAACUGCAAUUAAAACUGCUCGACUAGAGUUUGAUAGAGGGAAGCGGAAUACAUGGUGUAGAGGUGAAAUUCGUAGAUAUUAUGUAGAACACCAGUUGCGAAGGCGGCUUUCUGGAUCAACACUGACGCUGAGGCGCGAAAGUAUGGGUAGCAAAGAGGAUUAGAUACCCUCGUAGUCCAUACCAUAAACGAUGAUUGCUAGAUGUUGGAAAUUAUUUUCAGUAUCGCAGCUAACGCAUUAAGCAAUCCGCCUGGGGAGUACGACCGCAAGGUUAAAACUCAAAUGAAUUGACGGGGACCCGCACAAGCGGUGGAGAUGUGGUUAAUUCGAAGAUACGCGCAGAACCUUACCAACCCUUGACAUGUCUGUCGCGAGUUUAGGAAACUAGACUUUUCGGUUCGGCCGGACAGAACACAGGUGCUGCAUGGCUGUCGUCAGCUCCGUGCCGUGAGGUGGUGGGUAAGUCCGCAACGAGCGCAACCCCUAUCUUAGUUGCCACAGGUAUGCUGGGAACUCUUAAAGAAAUGCC
This 616-nucleotide ribosomal RNA is filed under the name uncultured Alphaproteobacteria bacterium. RNAcentral describes it as "bacterial SSU rRNA". It matches the Rfam family "Bacterial small subunit ribosomal RNA", at positions 532 to 1153 of the family's 1533-position model. The record is from RNAcentral. Lineage: Bacteria; Pseudomonadati; Pseudomonadota; Alphaproteobacteria.